This 122-nucleotide ribosomal RNA is filed under the name Pachypsylla venusta (hackberry petiole gall psyllid). The record is from RNAcentral. Lineage: Eukaryota; Metazoa; Arthropoda; Insecta; Hemiptera; Aphalaridae.
GCCAACGAUCAUACCACGUUGAAUACACCAGUUCCCGUCAGUUCACUGAAGUUAAGCAACGUCGGGCGUGGUCAUUACUUGGAUGGGUGACCACUUGGGAACACCACGUAUCGUUGGCUCAU